GCAUCUGUGGCCGAGAGGUUGAAGGCACUGGACUCAUAAUCCAUUUCCGUAAGGACAUCGCUGGUUCGAACCCAGUCGGAUGCA
RNAcentral lists this transfer RNA (84 nucleotides) under Synura petersenii. Its description in RNAcentral is "tRNA-Met". It matches the Rfam family "tRNA". From Rfam's summary of the family: Transfer RNA (tRNA) molecules are approximately 80 nucleotides in length. Their secondary structure includes four short double-helical elements and three loops (D, anti-codon, and T loops). Lineage: Eukaryota; Synurophyceae; Synurales; Mallomonadaceae. The record is from RNAcentral.